AAUAAGAUUAUUUUUCAGUUUUUAGAUACCAUGUUUUGACUCUUCGUCUUAUUUGAAAUUUUUUUGUGAUUAAUUUUUUGUUUUUACUAGAUGAUAAAAUAUGAAUAGCAUUUUAUGCGUGACUAAAUCUUUUAAGUUUUUUAUAAAUUUUUUAAAUAAGACAAAUAAUUAAAGUAUUGGAUACAGAAAUCAAAAAAUAACUUUAUG
This 207-nucleotide microRNA precursor is filed under the name Oryza brachyantha (malo sina). RNAcentral describes it as "MIR812 microRNA precursor family". It matches the Rfam family "MIR812 microRNA precursor family". Lineage: Eukaryota; Viridiplantae; Streptophyta; Magnoliopsida; Poales; Poaceae. The record is from Rfam by way of RNAcentral.